Molecule: non-coding RNA, 184 nt
Organism: Notechis scutatus (mainland tiger snake)
Lineage: Eukaryota; Metazoa; Chordata; Lepidosauria; Squamata; Elapidae
Source: RefSeq, a predicted model, not a curated record
CCCUGUUGUAAAUUCAUGAAUAACAAUCUUGAACAAGAUCCAAGAGAGCUAGGAUCAAGCCAAAAACAUAUCUCUUGGUAGAGGAAAGCUAUAUGUCAAAGAGACUUUCAUUAUGAAACUUGACAAACUGUUUGACAUCCUCAACUGCAAGUGUCAAAUUGUUCUGUGCAUCGAAGUUGGCUGC